RNAcentral lists this ribosomal RNA (429 nucleotides) under Pseudomonadota bacterium. RNAcentral describes it as "Proteobacteria bacterium partial 16S ribosomal RNA". It matches the Rfam family "Bacterial small subunit ribosomal RNA", at positions 355 to 776 of the family's 1533-position model. Lineage: Bacteria; Pseudomonadati; Pseudomonadota. The record is from RNAcentral.
UGGGGAAUAUUGGACAAUGGGCGAGAGCCUGAUCCAGCCAUGCCGCGUGUGUGAAGAAGGUCUUCGGAUUGUAAAGCACUUUAAGUUGGGAGGAAGGGCAGUAAGCGAAUACCUUGCUGUUUUGACGUUACCGACAGAAUAAGCACCGGCUAACUCUGUGCCAGCAGCCGCGGUAAUACAGAGGGUGCAAGCGUUAAUCGGAUUUACUGGGCGUAAAGCGUGCGUAGGCGGCUAAUUGAGUCGGAUGUGAAAUCCCCGAGCUUAACUUGGGAAUUGCAUUCGAUACUGGUUAGCUAGAGUGUGGGAGAGGAUGGUAGAAUUCCAGGUGUAGCGGUGAAAUGCGUAGAGAUCUGGAGGAAUACCGAUGGCGAAGGCAGCCAUCUGGCCUAACACUGACGCUGAGGUACGAAAGCAUGGGGAGCAAACAGG